Molecule: small RNA, 360 nt
Filed under: Pan troglodytes (chimpanzee)
Lineage: Eukaryota; Metazoa; Chordata; Mammalia; Primates; Hominidae
Description: processed transcript
Source: RNAcentral
AUCGGGGCUGGCGGGAGCCUGAGACUCCGGGCAGGGCUGCUCCCUCCUCUGCUCCCCCGCCAGAUCCGCAGGGAAGGAAUCGUGCCCGCGCCGCCCCUGGCCCGCGCCACCUUCCUUUGGUUUCUGCCGGCCUCGGGCUUCUGCGGCCCGAUGCGGCAGGCGCCGCGAGAGAGGCAGCAGCCGGCUGGAGCAGCGGCCCCCCAGGUCGCGGAGCCCGGUGCGCCCCUGCGGUCGUCGCUCCUGGGCCUCGGCGGGUCACUCUUGCCGGCCGGCUUCGCUGCGGGUUUGCACUGCGCGGGGUGGCACCUGUGGAAAUGAAACGGAGAAAUAAGAUCCAGCCUUGUUUAUCAAAGCCAGCUU